UACGGAAGGUGCAAGCGUUAGUCGGAAUUACUGGGCGUAAAGGGUGCGUAGGCGGAGAUGUAAGUUGGUCGUGAAAUUCCGGGGCUUAACCUCGGAGCUGCAAUCAAAACUGCAUCACUAGAGGAAUGGCGGAGAAAAUGGAAUUCCAUAUGUAGCGGUGAAAUGCGUAGAUAUAUGGAAGAACACCUGUGGCGAAAGCGGUUUUCUAGCCUUCUCCUGACGCUGAGGCACGAAAGCAAGGGGAGCAAACAGG
Molecule: ribosomal RNA, 253 nt
Filed under: uncultured bacterium
Lineage: Bacteria
Description: partial 16S ribosomal RNA
Rfam family: Bacterial small subunit ribosomal RNA
Source: RNAcentral